UACGUAGGGCGCAAGCGUUGUCCGGAAUUAUUGGGCGUAAAGAGCUCGUAGGCGGUUUGUCGCGUCUGCUGUGAAAACCCGAGGCUCAACCCCGGGCUUGCAGUGGGUACGGGCAGACUAGAGUGCGGUAGGGGAGACUGGAAUUCCUGGUGUAGCGGUGGAAUGCGCAGAUAUCAGGAGGAACACCGGUGGCGAAGGCGGGUCUCUGGGCCGUAACUGACGCUGAGGAGCGAAAGCAUGGGGAGCGAACAGG
This 253-nucleotide ribosomal RNA is filed under the name uncultured bacterium. RNAcentral's name for it is "partial 16S ribosomal RNA". It matches the Rfam family "Bacterial small subunit ribosomal RNA", at positions 524 to 776 of the family's 1533-position model. The record is from RNAcentral.